RNAcentral lists this long non-coding RNA (398 nucleotides) under Ananas comosus (pineapple). RNAcentral describes it as "long non-coding RNA (ACOM_LNC009880)". The record is from RNAcentral. Lineage: Eukaryota; Viridiplantae; Streptophyta; Magnoliopsida; Poales; Bromeliaceae.
GGUUAGUUAACCCCACUCCACUCCACCACUCCAACCAAACAAAAUACUAUUUUACCCACUAUCCUUUUUAUCCCACCUAUUUCAACCAAAUAUUAUUUUUUUUAAUACUGGACUAACUCUAAUUCUCAACCAAACACAAAAAGACCUUAACCCCACCUUAAUUCUGAAUUUAACCUUAUUUCUGGAAUAACUAGUUUUUUCUUUAACCCCGAACCAAACGGUAGAUAAGGUGCGGACCUUAUACCCCAUUCUGAAAUCCANCAUAAAAAUUUAAAUAAUUUAUAAUAAAAUUAAAAAAAUAUAUAAUAAAUAAAUAAAUAAUAAUUUGUAAAUAAAAUAAAUUUAAAAUAUAUAUAUAGUUUAUUUUGAAAUAUGCUAGUAAUAUUAUUUUAAUACAA